Molecule: long non-coding RNA, 678 nt
Organism: Cyprinodon tularosa
Lineage: Eukaryota; Metazoa; Chordata; Actinopteri; Cyprinodontiformes; Cyprinodontidae
Exons: 3
Source: RefSeq, a predicted model, not a curated record
CUGCCCUGUGGUCUCUGUGAACGGGUUUACAGGCUGCUGGAAGACACCUCGUUCAGCUGUUCAAGGGGAGACCUGAGGAGUUCCAGGGCCAGCUUGUCCUGGGGAAUCCCCUUGGCCUCGUCCCAGUGGGACGGGCCAAGAAGACCUUCUGAGGGUGGUGUCCAUGAGGCAUCCAACACAGAUGUCCGAGCCACCUCAGAUGACUUGUCUCCAUGUGGAGGAGAAGUGGCUCUAAGCCGAGCCAGAUGAUCGAGCUCUUCAUCCUAUCUCUAAGCCUGAGCAGCUGCAGACUCUGGAUGGACCCUGGCUUCUGGCAGUGGGCCUGUUUAAAACCAUUCCUGUCACGUUGUUGCUGAGCUUUGGUCAAAAGAAGGUGACACUGAUCCUGGCCCGAGCUGCUUACAGCUGGCUUAUUUCCCACAUAUCCAAGAAGCACUCAGAUUGUCCAGAUCCAUAAGUAGUGAUUAUAACACCUUAGAAUAGAUGGCAUGUGCUCAAAUCCUAAGAUUAUGCCUGUGAGAUCCUGUCUGAAGAAGAGUAAUCACUGUUGGGAAUCAAGAAGUUUAAGGUGCACUGGAUUGAUCAAGGAAGAAGACAGAGUGAUGGACAGGAACCUGUUAUAAAGGUUGGGUUGUUGAGAUGUAAACACCAAUGAAUGAUUUUAUGACUACAUCUAUA